UAGACAGAUGCUUGUUGGUUUARGCGCUUAGCUGUUAACUAGGAUUUUGUAGGAUCGAAGCCUACCUGUCUAG
This 73-nucleotide transfer RNA is filed under the name Scriptaphyosemion fredrodi. Its description in RNAcentral is "tRNA-Asn". The record is from RNAcentral. Lineage: Eukaryota; Metazoa; Chordata; Actinopteri; Cyprinodontiformes; Nothobranchiidae.